AAUUAUGCAGAUUUAUGCACGACGCUACUACACUCGCACAAACUGAGAAGAUUUAGUUCAUUGAGAAUGGAUGGAAACUGAUGAAGAGCUGGAAGGAGCUAACUGAUGAGUAGACAUUACAACAUUUCUUAUAUUUUCAAGAUGAAGCUGAAAGUCCCAUGCAGGAUGAUGCUUCUCUACAGUGGAUGAUGAAAGCAUGCUGAUUACAAACCCAGGAGAGGAAUAAAGAACAGAUAUUGACAGAAUCAUAUCUAGAGAUGUGGGCCUACUGCACUUCAUACAAGCAAGUGUGCUAAUAUACCAUACUUGGGUUAUCAUCACAGCCCUUUCUUCUGAAAACUAGCCUACAACUUCAUCGAUGAAUGCAGAAGACAUCUACAUGGGACUACGUCUUAAAGAUGCCC
RNAcentral lists this long non-coding RNA (404 nucleotides) under Strongylocentrotus purpuratus (purple sea urchin). RNAcentral describes it as "uncharacterized LOC105444031". Lineage: Eukaryota; Metazoa; Echinodermata; Echinoidea; Camarodonta; Strongylocentrotidae. The record is from RNAcentral.